Molecule: long non-coding RNA, 851 nt
Organism: Portunus trituberculatus (swimming crab)
Lineage: Eukaryota; Metazoa; Arthropoda; Malacostraca; Decapoda; Portunidae
Exons: 4
Source: RefSeq, a predicted model, not a curated record
UUAUGGCGGCGGACGAGUGCGGUUCCUUGUGUGCAUGUGCGUGUGUGUGCGUGCGUGGUAUCGCGGUUAGUGUAGUGACAAUGUGCGUUAGUUUAUCCUCUUAUGCGUCUUCCUCGCGUUGGAUCUGGUGAGUACCCAUAUCACAGGUCACAUCGUGGGACAGACACCGCUGGAGCAACCCUUCGGAAUUAGGUGAAGUACAGAUUACGGUUUCCUAGGCGUUAGGAGUUAGGCAUAGGGCGAUAGGCGGCGCGGCUAACCAUUUCCUUUUCAGACUAACUUUUUCUUCCAGGUACAGUUAAUUAUCUAGUCUUCCACAGUAAUGCCCUCGUUAAUGUACCGUGGCGGCGAUCCUGGAGCCUGGUGCUGGUGGUGGUGGUGGGCGUGCACGUGGUCAUAUGGUACGUAAACGGUAACCAAUUUUUUUCAGGUGUAAACUAACCUUCUCUUCCAGGUACAUGUUAAUUAUUUAGUCUUCCCCAGUAAUGGCCUUGUUAGCUUACCGUGGCGGCGUGCUGUGGCGACGAUCCUGGUGGUGGUGGUUAACGGUGAUGGUGACGGCUGGCUGGCGGUGGCGGGCGUGUACAGUGCCGUCAUAUGGGUUGUGUUGUUGGUUUCAUUCGACUAGUCUGUGGUGGUGCGUGUAUUGGAGAUGAUCGCAGAGACGCUACAGCCACGCAGAGGUAGAAGGUGGAUGGAAGUAUGGAAAUCUCGCAGUGACGAUGGAAAAGUAACAUCAAUGGUUGUCAAUCUGGCUGUGGUGUGAACGAGUGAGCGAGCAAGAAUGAACUGGCAGCGGGCGGGCGGGGGAAGGCUGAGCUGGUGAUAGGCUACGCGAGGCUAGUGAAGAU